Molecule: non-coding RNA, 1817 nt
Organism: Coturnix japonica (Japanese quail)
Lineage: Eukaryota; Metazoa; Chordata; Aves; Galliformes; Phasianidae
Source: RefSeq, a predicted model, not a curated record
CACACAAAAAUCACACUGAUUGAGCUGCUUCUCCACAUUUAGGAAAAAGUUGAAAGUCUAACAUUACAGGUGAAGUAUUUUAUUCCCUUUGGUACUAAGCAUGAUUUGAAGAGCCAUUAAACAACCGUCAACAUUGAUUUUUAGAAAAAUGAUUCCUUAUUCUGUAAAAUUUGCUGCAGCAAAUACAUUAUUUUUGUCCACAACCUGAAGUAUCCAGCCUUAAAUUGAUAAGGUUCCUCAGAUUUUUUCUCAAUUAGUAGAUGUUAUUUUUUCUACAAACUUCCUCCCUUUUGGAGUGAAAAACAGCAUAAAUAAUUUGUUUAGCUUUUUUGAAACCCUUGUUUUCCUUUAGUGAUCAUAAAAUAUGUGUGAUUAACAUCUAUAUUUAUUGAUGCUUGAGACCAUUCAGAUAGUCUUUUAUAAACUUCAUUCAAAUUGAAACAGAUUAGUCCCAGUGAUACUGGUUAAUGGGGUUGCUCUCCAGUGUUAGUUUAUGUCACUUUUAAUGUGACUGAAGUUGUUGUGGCAAACAUUAUUACACUCAGAGAUGCAAAGGCACAUUUGCCAUAUAAUAAUCUACAUUUAAAAAGCUUACAUAGAACACCGAUGAACAAAGCAACACACUGAAUUUAAACUGAAUUUUGAGCUUCUUCAGAUUAUCUGAUAUACAACUUAAAUAAAAAUGUUCCCUAUCAGAUUUACAGUUUGUAUGUGUUUGUUGUCUGCCACACUCUCAGUAUGAGCUGAGCAUGCCAGAUGGAUCAGUGCCUCCUGCAGACAUCUGAUGAACCAACUGACAGAGAAUGCCCAGCCUCUGUUUCCAGCAGCAUUUCUGCUGCCCUCUGUGUAAAAUGAGAUCUCCCAGGAAUGUCAGUACAACCCGAAAAGAAAUGUCGGUGCUCUAAUUUUCUAGAGCAAUGCUUCUCUCUUCCCUACACUUCUGCUAAGAUGCUGCUGAGCACUGGACCAUGACAAUGACAGAGAAUAUCUUGCUCAAGCAGGAGAAAAAAAAAAAAAAAAAAAGCUGGAAACAUGAACUGACCUCUGGAAGAAAGCUGCUAAUGAGAGUUUGUGUUUGUGGAAAAAGAAUGCUGUGAAGAAAGAAAAACUUAGAACUGUAUGAACCAAAACAAUGAAAUCUUUGAAAAAUUCAUACUACUGCUAUAGAAUUUCAAAGAACCACAGAAUAAGGGCUGCAGGCCCCUGGCACUGGAGGCAAGGUACAGCACAAUCAAAACAGAAGAAGAACACACUCCCUGCAUACAGACUGUCCUGCACAGCAGCAUGGUGUGAGCAAAGCAGUGCUGAUAUUCCCAUGAGGGGAAUGUCCAUGAGUGAUACACUGCUGGGAAUUCAUCUGCAUCAAACAGAAGGUCAGACUGGAGGUUUCCAGGGAUUCUUACCCACAAACAUUUCUAUGCUUCCAGACCUAUAAGGAAGGAGAUCUUGCAGAAUCACAGAAUGGCUGAGAUUGGAAGGGACCUCUGGAAGUCAUCUCAUCCAACCCUCCUUGAGCAAGAUCACCUAAAGCAUGUUGUCCAAGACCACAUCCAGGCAGCUUUUGAGUAUCUUCAAUGAAGGGGACUCUACAACUUCUCUGGAAUGCUUCUACAGUCUCAAUUCAUGAGACUGUUUUCAGUCCACCUCUCCAGCCUGUUGAGGUCCGUCUGGAUGGCAGCAUGGCCCUCUGGUGAGUCAGCCACUCCCCCCAGUUUUGUGCCAUCUGCAGAUCUACUGAGUGUGCACUCAACAUGAUCUUCCAGACAGUUAAUAAAAAUUAAUUAAACAGGACUGGACUCCUGGGCCAUUCUGUUCAC